Small nuclear RNA from Monodelphis domestica (gray short-tailed opossum), 101 nucleotides. The record is from Ensembl. NCBI's taxonomy places the organism in Eukaryota, Metazoa, Chordata, Mammalia, Didelphimorphia, Didelphidae.
UUGCUUCAGCAGCAUAUAUAGUAAAAUUGGAGCGAUACAGAGAAUAGCAUUGCCCCUGUGCAAAGAUGACAUGUAAACACCAACAACAGAACUAAAGAAAG